Molecule: ribosomal RNA, 629 nt
Filed under: uncultured bacterium
Lineage: Bacteria
Description: bacterial SSU rRNA
Rfam family: Bacterial small subunit ribosomal RNA
Source: RNAcentral
GGGCAGCGGGGGAGUAGCAAUACUCCCGCCGGCGACCGGCGCACGGGUGAGUAACACGUAUGAAACCUGCCCGUAGCAGGGGGAUAAGCGGAAGAAAUUCCGUCUAAUACCGCGUAACAACCCUUGGAGGCAUCUCCUCGGGUUUAAAGGAAGCGAUUCCGGCUACGGAUGGUCAUGCGUCGCAUUAGCUUGUUGGCGGGGUAACGGCCCACCAAGGCGACGAUGCGUAGGGGUUCUGAGAGGAAGGUCCCCCACACUGGUACUGAGACACGGACCAGACUCCUACGGGAGGCAGCAGUGAGGAAUAUUGGUCAAUGGCCGCAGGGCUGAACCAGCCAAGUCGCGUGAGGGAUGACGGUCCUGUGGAUUGUAAACCUCUUUUGUCACGGAGCAAAGGGCGUCACGUGUGGCGCUUUGAAAAAACACAUGUUAAAGCAUCGGCUAGGGGGGAAAAAGCAGCCGCGGUAAUACGGAGGAUGCGAGCGUUAUCCGGAUUUAUUGGGUUUAAAGGGUGCGCAGGCGGAAUGUCAAGUCAGCGGUAAAAUUUCGGGGCUCAACCCCGUCGUGCCGUUGAAACUGGCGUUCUUGAGUGAGCGAGAAGUAUGCGGAACGCGUGGUGUAGCGGUGAA